This 783-nucleotide long non-coding RNA is filed under the name Hordeum vulgare. RNAcentral's name for it is "long non-coding RNA (HVUL_LNC011081)". The record is from RNAcentral. Lineage: Eukaryota; Viridiplantae; Streptophyta; Magnoliopsida; Poales; Poaceae.
ACAAAUAGACACACGCGCAUGCGACAUGUACGUAUAGUGUCAGAGGACGGAAGCAAACGGUUGUUAGCGUGGGGGCAUUUUGAACCAAGCGUUGUUCGUCACGGAUCCAGAGGAUGCAAAUGAAUGCAUCCCCAUCUACCACCUCGGCCCUGUUUGACGAAAGGGGGAUCGGGGAGAAGAACAUGUGGAGGCGUCGGCCCCCGCCGCCGUAGAGAGGUUGCAGGGUGCAUGUAUACAUGGGACCACGAAAGUUGUCUUGGAGCAGCUCAGCCGCGCCAUGGCGAUGGACUUCCCCGUCUCUCCCGUCGACAGGUAAAUAGUUCCCUUGUACAGCAAAACUUGUGUCUCAUCACCGUCCGGCGACAAGAAACCUUAGGGGUUCGGUGGAAACUGGGUGCAGGCUGCCGAUCUUCUCGGACGAGGCGGCUAGCGCGGCGGCGCUCAUGGAGAUCUGCGGUGACCCAGCGUGCAGCGAGGGCGAAGCAGGCAAUGUGUACGUCUUGGAUGAAUAAGCUGCAGGCUAUGGUUCUGAGGCUGAAGAGAAGCUUGUUGUGAUUCAUAACUGUGCCGACAGUGAAAAUGCAACAUCAGCACACUCGAUGGGGAUAAUUGAUCCCUAGGAACCGUGGUGAACAAAAAGGUAAGAAUGGAUUGACACAUUUUUGCUUGGUACUAGCUGGUAGUAGUAAAUAUUUUGGAACGACCUGAGAAAUUUAAGGUUUCCCUGUGGUGAAUCCUAUCAAUGAAAUUAUUAUGUGCACGUUGUACAUAAGUCGAUCGUGU